GGAAUUUAUGUAUCGAAAAAAGGCAGAAAGAAAGAAAAAACUCCUCAAAGAGAAAAAGUCUUUGGCACAGGCUGCAGAGAUGAGGAACAAGAGGUUGCAAGAGUUGUACAGGAAACAAAAAGAAGCUAUUGGGAAGAAAUCAUGUCCUGAUGAGAUGAACAAACCCAUUGGGAAAACGGGUUCUGCCAAAGGAAAUCCUCAGUGUGAAUUGGAGCAAAGGAAAACCAGUGGGGGAGUACUGGAAAGGAGGUUCAUGGCCUGGGUGGAUGAAACAUCCUCUCCUCUAUCACCUGAAGAUCACAGAGGCAGGAAUCAACUCCUGGAAACAGCUCAAUCACCUAAAAAAGGAGAAACAUCAGGUCCUCCAGCACCACUGGAAUCUGAAUGCUGGUUUCUCAGUCCUCUGAAAUGUGAAGACCUGAGGGACUGCUCUCCCCCAGCUCUGCAUUCACCUCCUCUGAGCUUUUCUGUUCCUCAGAAAGAUGCAAAACCUUCCUCCAAGGACUCAUCUUUUGGACUUUCUCCACAGAGAAGCAAACAGGAUCAGGUGAGAGCCAUCCACAGUCUGUGCAGGGAACUUGAAGAAAAGAUUGACAUGGCAAGGAAGAGGCUGAGUGAAGCCAGCUGGGCUAAAGCCUCUGCUGACAAACAGUCAACAGCUCUGGGCCUGUACAGUGAUCCUCCUUCUGCCCCAGAACCUGAGACUUCCAGGGAUAGGCAGGAGAGGACAAUGACUGCAGAAAUGCUUCUGGACACCACAGAUCCUGAAGUGCUUCGUGUGGCAUCCGAGAGGGAAUGGCGUGGACUGGGCAGCACUGGGGGUGCAACAGCCCCGGACAGGGAAAUGCCAACUCCUCUGCCUGGUGGGAAUGCUGAGAGGGAAGAAUUGCCCUGGAUCACUCACAGUGCAGGACAGAGUCACCUCAGCUCUGCAGGAGACCUGGGCAACACCUUGCAAGGUUUCCCAGUGAAUAAGGGCUCCAAGGUGGACAUAAGUCUAUUGCCUGAAAAGCCAAUAACCAGCCCAGCCUCUCCAG
This 1037-nucleotide long non-coding RNA is filed under the name Chloebia gouldiae (Gouldian finch). Its description in RNAcentral is "Erythrura gouldiae (Gouldian finch) lncRNA (ENSEGOG00005005728.1)". Lineage: Eukaryota; Metazoa; Chordata; Aves; Passeriformes; Passeridae. The record is from RNAcentral.